AUUGAACGCUGGCGGCAUGCCUUACACAUGCAAGUCGAACGGCAACAGGUCUUCGGAUGCUGACGAGUGGCGAACGGGUGAGUAAUACAUCGGAACGUGCCUAGUAGUGGGGGAUAACUACUCGAAGGAGUGGCUAAUACCGCAUGAGAUCUACGGAUGAAAGCAGGGGAUCGCAAGACCUUGUGCUACUAGAGCGGCCGAUGGCAGAUUAGGUAGUUGGUGGGAUAAAAGCUUACCAAGCCGACGAUCUGUAGCUGGUCUGAGAGGACGAUCAGCCACACUGGGAUUGAGAAACGGCCCAGACUCCUACGGGAGGCAGCAGUGGGGAAUUUUGGACAAUGGGCGAAAGCCUGAUCCAGCAAUGCCGCGUGCAGGAUGAAGGCCUUCGGGUUGUAAACUGCUUUUGUACGGAACGAAAAGCCCCGGGUUAAUACCCUGGGGUCAUGACGGUACCGUAAGAAUAAGCACCGGCUAACUACGUGCCAGCAGCCGCCGUAA
RNAcentral lists this ribosomal RNA (498 nucleotides) under uncultured bacterium. RNAcentral describes it as "partial 16S ribosomal RNA". It matches the Rfam family "Bacterial small subunit ribosomal RNA", at positions 30 to 523 of the family's 1533-position model. The record is from RNAcentral.